GAGCNAAUCAAUGGGAGCUUGCUCCCUUUCCCUUAGCGGCGGAAGGGUGAGUAACACGUGGGCAACCUGCCUAUAAGACUGGGAUAACUUCCGGAAACCGGAGCUAAUACCGGAUACGUUCUUUUCUCGCAUGAGAGAAGAUGGAAAGACGGUUUCGGCUGUCACUUAUAGAUGGGCCCGCGGCGCAUUAGCUAGUUGGUGAGGUAAUGGCUCACCAAGGCGACGAUGCGUAGCCGACCUGAGAGGGUGAUCGGCCACACUGGGACUGAGACACGGCCCAGACUCCUACGGGAGGCAGCAGUAGGGAAUCUUCCGCAAUGGACGAAAGUCUGACGGAGCAACGCCGCGUGAACGAAGAAGGCCUUCGGGUCGUAAAGUUCUGUUGUUAGGGAAGAACAAGUACCAGAGUAACUGCUGGUACCUUGACGGUACCUAACCAGAAAGCCACGGCUAACUACGUGCCAGCAGCCGCGGUAAUACGUAGGUGGCAAGCGUUGUCCGGAAUUAUUGGGCGUAAAGCGCGCCGCAGGUGGUUCCUUUAAGUCUGAUGUGAAAGCCCACGGUCUCAACCGUGGAGGGUCAUUGGGAAACUGGGGAACUUGAGUUGCAGAAGAAGGAAAGUUG
This 624-nucleotide ribosomal RNA is filed under the name Peribacillus simplex. RNAcentral's name for it is "bacterial SSU rRNA". It matches the Rfam family "Bacterial small subunit ribosomal RNA", at positions 64 to 671 of the family's 1533-position model. The record is from RNAcentral. Lineage: Bacteria; Bacillati; Bacillota; Bacilli; Caryophanales; Bacillaceae.